This 478-nucleotide ribosomal RNA is filed under the name Helonias bullata. Its description in RNAcentral is "partial 18S ribosomal RNA". It matches the Rfam family "Eukaryotic small subunit ribosomal RNA", at positions 75 to 544 of the family's 1831-position model. The record is from RNAcentral. Lineage: Eukaryota; Viridiplantae; Streptophyta; Magnoliopsida; Liliales; Melanthiaceae.
CAUACGGUGAAACUGCGAAUGGCUCAUNAAAUCAGUUAUAGUUUGUUUGAUGGUANAUGCCUGACUCGGAUAACCGUAGUAAUUCUAGAGCUAAUACGUGNAAUAAACCCCGACUCCUGGAAGGGAUGHAUUUAUUAGAUAAAAGGUDNBGCGGGCUUCUGCCCGGYGCUCUGGUUAUUVAUKAUUACUVKAUGGAUUGCACGGCCCUCGUGCCNGCGAUCGGCAUCAUUCAAAUUUCUGCCCUAUCAACUUCGAUUGGUUAGGAUAUGGGGCCUACCAUGGUGGUGAUAGACGGGURACGGAGAAUUAGGGUUCGAUUCCGGAGAGGGAGCCUGAGAAACGGCUACCACAUCCAAGGAAGGCAGCAGGCGCGCAAAUUACCNAAUCCUGACACGGGAAGGUAGUGACAAUAAAUAACAAUMMCGGGCNCAACGRGUCUGGUAAUUGGAAUGAGUACAAUCUAAAUCCCUUAACGAGA